Molecule: small RNA, 141 nt
Filed under: Bacillus gaemokensis
Lineage: Bacteria; Bacillati; Bacillota; Bacilli; Caryophanales; Bacillaceae
Description: c-di-AMP sequence
Rfam family: c-di-AMP riboswitch aptamer (ydaO/yuaA leader)
About the family: This family represents a conserved RNA structure found upstream of the ydaO and yuaA genes in Bacillus subtilis and related genes in other bacteria. The ydaO/yuaA element is thought to act as a genetic "off" switch for the ydaO and yuaA genes in its native state.
Source: RNAcentral
CAAAUAAAAUCGCUUAAUCCAUUUAGGAGCGGGGGAACCAAAUUUGUGCAUUGCCACUAGGGGUGAAUCCUUUUAUAGGUAGGGCUACUCUCAAGGUCCGAAUCCGACAGCUAACCUCGUCAGCGUUUUGAGAGGGGGGAC